GUAUACCAACUGUUGUGUAAAGCCUCAUCGAGAAGUUCUCAUGAUGCUGCGUCUUUUGUUGAUCCUUGCUCUGUGCUUCACUGUUGCCUUGUCCUAUCACUAUAAUCAAUUCAACGACUACUUUCGGUUCCGUGGACGUCCUCUCCCUAGACCGUCUCGCCAGGCUUACUUUUUCGGCGACAACAAUAACGACCCAUACAAUAACGACGACAACUGGGGUUUGAAUGUCUUAAACAACUUUUAUUAACAAUGAACAACUGCAAAUGAAGCACAUCAAAGAACAUAACAAAAACAAAGACUUAUUGAAACGGUUUUACAGGAAGAAACAACACAGGAAAAACAUGUGAAUAAAAGCGAGCUUCAUUUACUCUUAGAUACAAGCACAAUAAAGGAUAAAAAACA
Molecule: long non-coding RNA, 402 nt
Organism: Saccostrea cuccullata (small rock oyster)
Lineage: Eukaryota; Metazoa; Mollusca; Bivalvia; Ostreida; Ostreidae
Exons: 2
Source: RefSeq, a predicted model, not a curated record